RNAcentral lists this ribosomal RNA (476 nucleotides) under Escherichia coli. RNAcentral's name for it is "partial 23S ribosomal RNA". It matches the Rfam family "Bacterial large subunit ribosomal RNA", at positions 1057 to 1536 of the family's 2925-position model. The record is from RNAcentral. Lineage: Bacteria; Pseudomonadati; Pseudomonadota; Gammaproteobacteria; Enterobacterales; Enterobacteriaceae.
GGUUAAGUGGGAAACGAUGUGGGAAGGCCCAGACAGCCAGGAUGUUGGCUUAGAAGCAGCCAUCAUUUAAAGAAAGCGUAAUAGCUCACUGGUCGAGUCGGCCUGCGCGGAAGAUGUAACGGGGCUAAACCAUGCACCGAAGCUGCGGCAGCGACGCUUAUGCGUUGUUGGGUAGGGGAGCGUUCUGUAAGCCUGUGAAGGUGUACUGUGAGGUAUGCUGGAGGUAUCAGAAGUGCGAAUGCUGACAUAAGUAACGAUAAAGCGGGUGAAAAGCCCGCUCGCCGGAAGACCAAGGGUUCCUGUCCAACGUUAAUCGGGGCAGGGUGAGUCGACCCCUAAGGCGAGGCCGAAAGGCGUAGUCGAUGGGAAACAGGUUAAUAUUCCUGUACUUGGUGUUACUGCGAAGGGGGGACGGAGAAGGCUAUGUUGGCCGGGCGACGGUUGUCCCGGUUUAAGCGUGUAGGCUGGUUUUCCAG